AUAAUACUCCAUAGAUUAGAGACACUGGAAUGUUCUUUAGUCGAAAGUUCUGGCGCCUUAGGAUGGAUCUGCGGUCGAUUAGGUUGUUGUCGGGGUAACGGCCCAACAAGCCUGUAAUCGAUACGGGUUGUGGGAGCAAGAGCCCGGAGAUGGAAUCUGAGACACGAUUCCAGGCCCUACGGGGCGCAGCAGGCGCGAAAACUUUACAAUGCAGGAAACUGUGAUAAGGGAACUCCGAGUGCCCGUAUACGCGGGCUGUCCAGGUGUUUAAAAAUCAUCUGAAGAAAGGGCCGGGCAAGACCGGUGCCAGCCGCCGCGGUAAUACCGGCGGCUCGAGUGGUGGCCACUAUUAUUGAGAAUAAAGCGUCCGUAGCUGGACCGAUAAGUCUCUUGGGAAAUCCGCCGGCUCAACCGGCGGGCGUCUAAGGGAUACUGUUAGUCUAGGGACCGGGAGAGGUGAGAGGUACUCCGGGGGUAGGAGUGAAAUCCUGUAAUCCCCGGGGGACCACCGAUGGCGAAGGCAUCUCACCAGAACGGCUCCGACAGUGAGGGACGAAAGCUGGGGGAGCGAACCGGAUUAGAUACCCGGUAGUCCCGGCCGUAACUAUGCGCGUUAGGUGU
Molecule: ribosomal RNA, 621 nt
Filed under: uncultured archaeon
Lineage: Archaea
Description: bacterial SSU rRNA
Rfam family: Archaeal small subunit ribosomal RNA
Source: RNAcentral